Molecule: long non-coding RNA, 377 nt
Organism: Gadus morhua (Atlantic cod)
Lineage: Eukaryota; Metazoa; Chordata; Actinopteri; Gadiformes; Gadidae
Exons: 3
Source: RefSeq, a predicted model, not a curated record
GCAAUUAUCUGGAUUGGCUUUUUAACAGAUGUUGGAAAGCUGGAACACUCUUUUAUACGUUAAAUAGAAGACAAAGGCAUACCAUUGGCGAUUAAAAAUGAAUGGCAUACAAGAUUGUGCGAAACCUGACUCUGAGCCACAACUGCAGUUUUUAAACUGUCCUCACGCUUCGUGUGGGGCAACGUUUACUCGCGAAUGGCGACUGAAAGAACACGAAACUGUACACACUGGAUUGCGUCCUAUCCAGUGUAAACAUGAUGGCUGUGGUCGUUGUUUCUCACGGAUAUCGCACCUGAAGAGGCAUAGUUCAAAGCACACUGCAGCCAAGUCACUUAAAUGUACGUUGGUGAGUUGUACAGAAACUUUCUUCGACGAAG